UACAGAGGUCUCAAGCGUUGUUCGGAUUCAUUGGGCGUAAAGGGCGCGUAGGCUGCGGGGCAAGUCGGGUGUGAAAUCUCAGAGCUCAACUCUGAAACUGCACUCGAUACUGCUUUGCUUGAGGACUGGAGAGGAGAUUGGAAUUCACGGUGUAGCAGUGAAAUGCGUAGAUAUCGUGAGGAAGACCAGUGGCGAAGGCGGAUCUCUGGACAGUUCCUGACGCUGAGGCGCGACAGCGUGGGGAGCAAACAGG
Molecule: ribosomal RNA, 253 nt
Filed under: uncultured bacterium
Lineage: Bacteria
Description: partial 16S ribosomal RNA
Rfam family: Bacterial small subunit ribosomal RNA
Source: RNAcentral